RNAcentral lists this ribosomal RNA (496 nucleotides) under uncultured bacterium. RNAcentral's name for it is "partial 16S ribosomal RNA". It matches the Rfam family "Bacterial small subunit ribosomal RNA", at positions 29 to 507 of the family's 1533-position model. The record is from RNAcentral.
AUGAACGCUGGCGGCGUGCCUAAUACAUGCAAGUCGAGCGCACAGACGAGGAGCUUGCUCCUCUGACGUUAGCGGCGGACGGGUGAGUAACACGUGGAUAACCUACCUAUAAGACUGGGAUAACUUCGGGAAACCGGAGCUAAUACCGGAUAAUAUAUUGAACCGCAUGGUUCAAUAGUGAAAGACGGUUUUGCUGUCACUUAUAGAUGGAUCCGCGCCGCAUUAGCUAGUUGGUAAGGUAACGGCUUACCAAGGCAACGAUGCGUAGCCGACCUGAGAGGGUGAUCGGCCACACGGGAACUGAGACACGGUCCAGACUCCUACGGGAGGCAGCAGUAGGGAAUCUUCCGCAAUGGGCGAAAGCCUGACGGAGCAACGCCGCGUGAGUGAUGAAGGUCUUCGGAUCGUAAAACUCUGUUAUUAGGGAAGAACAAAUGUGUAAGUAACUAUGCACGUCUUGACGGUACCUAAUCAGAAAGCCACGGCUAACUACGUG